Molecule: transfer RNA, 70 nt
Filed under: Loxodonta africana (African savanna elephant)
Lineage: Eukaryota; Metazoa; Chordata; Mammalia; Proboscidea; Elephantidae
Rfam family: tRNA
About the family: Transfer RNA (tRNA) molecules are approximately 80 nucleotides in length. Their secondary structure includes four short double-helical elements and three loops (D, anti-codon, and T loops).
Source: Rfam by way of RNAcentral
GCAGUGUUGGUUCAUUGGUAGAAUUCUCUCCUUCCAUGUGAGAGACUCAGGUUCAAUUCCCAGCAAUGCA